CUAACCUGGUUGAUCCUGCCAGUAGCAUACGCUUGUCUCAAAGAUUAAGCCAUGCACGUCUAAGUAUAAGCAUUAUACUGUGAAACUGCGAAUGGCUCAUUAUAUCAGUUAUAGUUUAUUUGAUGGUCCUUGCUACUUGGAUAACCGUAGUAAUUCUAGAGCUAAUACAUGCACAAAUCCCCGACUGCUUGGAA
This 194-nucleotide ribosomal RNA is filed under the name uncultured eukaryote. RNAcentral's name for it is "partial 18S ribosomal RNA". It matches the Rfam family "Eukaryotic small subunit ribosomal RNA", at positions 1 to 197 of the family's 1831-position model. The record is from RNAcentral.